This 215-nucleotide unclassified non-coding RNA is filed under the name rhizosphere metagenome. RNAcentral's name for it is "partial ribosomal RNA internal transcribed spacer region". The record is from RNAcentral.
CUCAGUAGAUCUCUACUGCUCAGGGGGAGCGGAAAGCUUGCCAGCCUGCUGGCCUGCGAGUACGUUCUCUGUCUGAACCCUUGUCUUUUUGCGUACUCAUGUUUCCUCGGCGGGCUUGCCCGCCGGCUGGACAACCUAUAAACCUUUUUUAAUUUUCAAUCAGCGUCUGAAUAAUUAUAAUAAUUACAACUUUCAACAACGGAUCUCUUGGUUCU